Molecule: ribosomal RNA, 398 nt
Filed under: uncultured bacterium
Lineage: Bacteria
Description: partial 16S ribosomal RNA
Rfam family: Bacterial small subunit ribosomal RNA
Source: RNAcentral
AUACGUAGGGUGCGAGCGUUGUCCGGAAUUACUGGGCGUAAAGAGCUCAUAGGUGGUUUGUCGCGUCGUCUGUGAAAUUCCGGGGCUUAACUCCGGGCGUGCAGGCGAUACGGGCAUAACUUGAGUACUGUAGGGGAGACUGGAAUUCCUGGUGUAGCGGUGAAAUGCGCAGAUAUCAGGAGGAACACCGGUGGCGAAGGCGGGUCUCUGGGCAGUAACUGACGCUGAGGAGCGAAAGCAUGGGUAGCGAACAGGAUUAGAUACCCUGGUAGUCCAUGCCGUAAACGGUGGGCGCUAGGUGUAGGGGUCUUCCACGACUUCUGUGCCGUAGCUAACGCAUUAAGCGCCCCGCCUGGGGAGUACGGCCGCAAGGCUAAAACUCAAAUGAAUUGACGGGG